RNAcentral lists this small nucleolar RNA (216 nucleotides) under Castor canadensis (American beaver). Its description in RNAcentral is "Small nucleolar RNA U3 (ENSCCNG00000019110.1)". It matches the Rfam family "Small nucleolar RNA U3". Rfam says of the family: Small nucleolar RNAs (snoRNAs) are involved in the processing and modification of rRNA in the nucleolus. There are two main classes of snoRNAs: the box C/D class, and the box H/ACA class. U3 snoRNA is a member of the box C/D class. Lineage: Eukaryota; Metazoa; Chordata; Mammalia; Rodentia; Castoridae. The record is from Rfam by way of RNAcentral.
GAGACUAUGCUUUCAGGGAUCAUUUCUAUAGUUCGUUACUAGAGAAGUUUCUCUGAUUGUGUGGAGUACUGGAAACCAUGAGGAGGAGGUGCGGUGCUGUCUCCUCAGCCUGAAGCUGGUUCUUGGUGUUGCUUUAUUGCAACUGCCAUUUGCCACUGAUGAUCGUUCUUACUUUCUUUCAAGGGAGUAAGAGGGAGAGAGCACGGUCUGAGUGGU